Molecule: unclassified non-coding RNA, 329 nt
Filed under: soil metagenome
Description: partial contains 5.8S ribosomal RNA, internal transcribed spacer 2, and large subunit ribosomal RNA
Rfam family: 5.8S ribosomal RNA (bases 1-120)
Source: RNAcentral
GAUAAAGAACGUAGCGAAAUGCGAUAAGUAAUGUGAAUUGCAGAAUUCAGUGAAUCAUCGAAUCUUUGAACGCACAUUGCGCCCCCUGGUAUUCCGGGGGGCAUGCCUGUCCGAGCGUCAUUACAACCCUCAAGCUCAGCUUGGUGUUGGGCCCCGCCGCCCCGGCGGGCCCUAAAGUCAGUGGCGGUGCCGUCCGGCUCCGAGCGUAGUAAUUCUUCUCGCUCUGGAGGUCCGGUCGUGUGCUCGCCAGCAACCCCCAAUUUUUUUCAGGUUGACCUCGGAUCAGGUAGGGAUACCCGCUGAACUUAAGCAUAUCAAUAAGCGGAGGA